GACGAACGCUGGCGGCGUGCUUAACACAUGCAAGUCGAACGGAAAGGCCCUGCUUUUGUAGGGUGCUCGAGUGGCGAACGGGUGAGUAACACGUGAGUAACCUGCCCUUGACUUUGGGAUAACUUCAGGAAACUGGGGCUAAUACCGGAUAGGAGCUCCUGCUGCAUGGUGGGGGUUGGAAAGUUUCGGCGGUUGGGGAUGGACUCGCGGCUUAUCAGCUUGUUGGUGGGGUAGUGGCUUACCAAGGCUUUGACGGGUAGCCGGCCUGAGAGGGUGACCGGCCACAAUGGGACUGAGAUACGGACCAGACUCCUACGGGAGGCAGCAGUGGGGAAUAUGGCACAGUGGGCGGAAGCCUGAUACAGCAACGCCGCGGGCGGAAUGACGGCCUUCUGGUUGUAAACCGCUUUCGCCUAUGACGAAGCGUGAGUGACGGUAAUGGGUAAAGAAGCACCGGCUAACUACGUG
Molecule: ribosomal RNA, 468 nt
Filed under: uncultured bacterium
Lineage: Bacteria
Description: partial 16S ribosomal RNA
Rfam family: Bacterial small subunit ribosomal RNA
Source: RNAcentral